CCUACGGGUGACAGCAGUGAGGAAUAUUGGUCAAUGGCCGGAAGGCUGAACCAGCCAUGCCGCGUGAAGGUCAGUGCCCUAUGGGCGUUAAACUUCUUUUGUGCGGGAGCAAUAAUGGUCACGUGUGGCCAGACGAGAGUACCGUACGAAUAAGCAUCGGCUAACCACGUGCCAGCAGCCGCGGUUAUACGGGGGAUGCAAGCGUUAUCCGGAUUUAUUGGGUUUAAAGGGUGCGUAGGCUGUGAGGUAAGUCAGCGGUGAAAUGCCCCCGCUCAACGGGGUGAAGUGCCAUUGAUACUGCCUUGCUGGAGUGCGGAUGCGGUGGGAGGAAUGUGUGGUGUAGCGGUGAAAUGCAUAGAUAUCACACAGAACACCGAUUGCGAAGGCAGCUCACGAAUCCGCGAUUGACGCUGAUGCACGAAAGCGUGGGUAUCAAACAGGAUUAGAUACCCCAGUAGUC
RNAcentral lists this ribosomal RNA (460 nucleotides) under uncultured bacterium. Its description in RNAcentral is "partial 16S ribosomal RNA". It matches the Rfam family "Bacterial small subunit ribosomal RNA", at positions 338 to 795 of the family's 1533-position model. The record is from RNAcentral.